RNAcentral lists this unclassified non-coding RNA (209 nucleotides) under soil metagenome. Its description in RNAcentral is "partial contains 5.8S ribosomal RNA, internal transcribed spacer 2, and large subunit ribosomal RNA". The record is from RNAcentral.
AACGGUCUAUACCUGCGGUACCUGCGGAGGGAUCAUUACCGAGUUAUACAACUCAUCAACCCCUGUGAACUUACCUACAACGUUGCUUCGGCGGGAACAGACGGCCCCGUAAAACGGGCCGCCCCCGCCAGAGGACCCCUAACUCUGUUUUUAUAAUGUUUUUCUGAGUAAACAAGCAAAUAAAUUAAAACUUUUAACAACGGAUCUCU